CAUCCUCCAAGGCUAAAUACUCCUGACUGACCGAUAGUGAACCAGUACCGUGAGGGAAAGGCGAAAAGAACCCCGGCGAGGGGAGUGAAAAAGAACCUGAAACCGUGUACGUACAAGCAGUGGGAGCACCCUUUGGGGUGUGACUGCGUACCUUUUGUAUAAUGGGUCAGCGACUUAUAUUCUGUAGCAAGGUUAACCGAAUAGGGGAGCCGGAGGGAAACCGAGUCUUAAUUGGGCGUUAAGUUGCAGGGUAUAGACCCGAAACCCGGUGAUCUAGCCAUGGGCAGGUUGAAGGUUGGGUAACACUAACUGGAGGACCGAACCGAC
RNAcentral lists this ribosomal RNA (327 nucleotides) under Salmonella enterica subsp. enterica. Its description in RNAcentral is "partial 23S ribosomal RNA". It matches the Rfam family "Bacterial large subunit ribosomal RNA", at positions 454 to 783 of the family's 2925-position model. The record is from RNAcentral. RNAcentral also lists the same sequence under 1 other name. Lineage: Bacteria; Pseudomonadati; Pseudomonadota; Gammaproteobacteria; Enterobacterales; Enterobacteriaceae.